GCAGUCGACGAACUCUGGUAUUGAUUGGUGCUUGCAUCAUGAUUUACAUUUGAGUGAGUGGCGAACUGGUGAGUAACACGUGGGAAACCUGCCCAGAAGCGGGGGAUAACACCUGGAAACAGAUGCUAAUACCGCAUAACAACUUGGACCGCAUGGUCCGAGUUUGAAAGAUGGCUUCGGCUAUCACUUUUGGAUGGUCCCGCGGCGUAUUAGCUAGAUGGUGGGGUAACGGCUCACCAUGGCAAUGAUACGUAGCCGACCUGAGAGGGUAAUCGGCCACAUUGGGACUGAGACACGGCCCAAACUCCUACGGGAGGCAGCAGUAGGGAAUCUUCCACAAUGGACGAAAGUCUGAUGGAGCAACGCCGCGUGAGUGAAGAAGGGUUUCGGCUCGUAAAACUCUGUUGUUAAAGAAGAACAUAUCUGAGAGUAACUGUUCAGGUAUUGACGGUAUUUAACCAGAAAGCCACGGCUAACUACGUGCCAGCAGCCGCGGUAAUACGUAGGUGGCAAGCGUUGUCCGGAUUUAUUGGGCGUAAAGCGAGCGCAGGCGGUUUUUUAAGUCUGAUGUGAAAGCCUUCGGCUCAACCGAAGAAGUGCAUCGGAAACUGGGAAACUUGAGUGCAGAAGAGGACAGUGGAACUCCAUGUGUAGCGGUGAAAUGCGUAGAUAUAUGGAAGAACACCAGUGGCGAAGGCGGCUGUCUGGUCUGUAACUGACGCUGAGGCUCGAAAGUAUGGGUAGCAAACAGGAUUAGAUACCCUGGUAGUCCAUACCGUAAACGAUGAAUGCUAAGUGUUGGAGGGUUUCCGCCCUUCAGUGCUGCAGCUAACGCAUUAAGCAUUCCGCCUGGGGAGUACGGCCGCAAGGCUGAAACUCAAAGGAAUUGACGGGGGCCCGCACAAGCGGUGGAGCAUGUGGUUUAAUUCGAAGCUACGCGAAGAACCUUACCAGGUCUUGACAUACUAUGCAAAUCUAAGAGAUUAGACGUUCCCUUCGGGGACAUGGAUACAGGUGGUGCAUGGUUGUCGUCAGCUCGUGUCGUGAGAUGUUGGGUUAAGUCCCGCAACGAGCGCAACCCUUAUUAUCAGUUGCCAGCAUUAAGUUGGGCACUCUGGUGAGACUGCCGGUGACAAACCGGAGGAAGGUGGGGAUGACGUCAAAUCAUCAUGCCCCUUAUGACCUGGGCUACACACGUGCUACAAUGGAUGGUACAACGAGUUGCGAACUCGCGAGAGUAAGCUAAUCUCUUAAAGCCAUUCUCAGUUCGGAUUGUAGGCUGCAACUCGCCUACAUGAAGUCGGAAUCGCUAGUAAUCGCGGAUCAGCAUGCCGCGGUGAAUACGUUCCCGGGCCUUGUACACACCGCCCGUCACACCAUGAGAGUUUGUAACACCCAAAGUCGGUGGGGUA
Molecule: ribosomal RNA, 1412 nt
Filed under: Lactiplantibacillus plantarum
Lineage: Bacteria; Bacillati; Bacillota; Bacilli; Lactobacillales; Lactobacillaceae
Description: bacterial SSU rRNA
Rfam family: Bacterial small subunit ribosomal RNA
Source: RNAcentral